This 495-nucleotide ribosomal RNA is filed under the name uncultured bacterium. RNAcentral's name for it is "partial 16S ribosomal RNA". It matches the Rfam family "Bacterial small subunit ribosomal RNA", at positions 28 to 507 of the family's 1533-position model. The record is from RNAcentral.
GACGAACGCUGGCGGCGUGCCUAAUACAUGCAAGUAGAACGCUGAAGGAGGAGCUUGCUUCUCUGGAUGAGUUGCGAACGGGUGAGUAACGCGUAGGUAACCUGCCUGGUAGCGGGGGAUAACUAUUGGAAACGAUAGCUAAUACCGCAUAAGAGUAGAUGUUGCAUGACAUUUACUUAAAAGGUGCAAUUGCAUCACUACCAGAUGGACCUGCGUUGUAUUAGCUAGUUGGUGAGGUAACGGCUCACCAAGGCAACGAUACAUAGCCGACCUGAGAGGGUGAUCGGCCACACUGGGACUGAGACACGGCCCAGACUCCUACGGGAGGCAGCAGUAGGGAACCUUCGGCAAUGGACGGAAGUCUGACCGAGCAACGCCGCGUGAGUGAAGAAGGUUUUCGGAUCGUAAAGCUCUGUUGUAAGAGAAGAACGAGUGUGAGAGUGGAAAGUUCACACUGUGACGGUAUCUUACCAGAAAGGGACGGCUAACUACGUG